RNAcentral lists this long non-coding RNA (555 nucleotides) under Salmo salar (Atlantic salmon). RNAcentral's name for it is "lncRNA (ENSSSAG00000116971.1)". Lineage: Eukaryota; Metazoa; Chordata; Actinopteri; Salmoniformes; Salmonidae. The record is from RNAcentral.
GGCCAAGACAGAAGUGAGGCGUGAGUUGGCUUGGGAGUGUGGUUUGAUGUUAAUAACUACAUACAGAUGUAUGGUGAGAUGCUGGAGGGAGCUUUGAAUAGGUGUCUCCGGAAGGUGGUGAUUGACUCCGCUGUCCUGGCGUCGUGAGGGAGCUUGUUCCACCAUUGGGGUGCCAGAGCAGCGAACAGUUUUGACUGGGCUGAGCGGGAACUGUGCUUCCUCAGAGGUAGGGAGGCGAGCAGGCCAGAGGUGGAUGAACGCAGUGCCCUUGUUUGGGUGUAGGGCCUGAUCAGAGCCUGAAGGUACGGAGGUGCCGUUCCCCUCACAGCUCCGUAGGCAAGCACCAUGGUCUUGUAGCGGAUGCGAGCUUCAACUGGAAGCCAGUGGAGAGAGCGGAGGAGCGGCGUGACGUGAGAGAACUUGGGAAGGUUGAACACCAGACGGGCUGCGGCGUUCUGGAUGAGUUGUAGGGGUUUAAUGGCACAGGCAGGGAGCCCAGCCAACAGCGACAACAGCGAGUUGCAGUAAUCCAGACGGGAGAUGACAAGUGCCUGG